This is a long non-coding RNA of Tachysurus fulvidraco (yellow catfish), 1380 nucleotides long. RefSeq lists it as uncharacterized. The record is from RefSeq and is a predicted model, not a curated record. The transcript is spliced from 3 exons. NCBI's taxonomy places the organism in Eukaryota, Metazoa, Chordata, Actinopteri, Siluriformes, Bagridae.
GUUGCCUGAGGGCAAUGCUGUGCAGUACAAUGUUAGACCGUCUUUAGGACCUUGAGGCGUUUUUAUUGUUCUUCCUGUUAUGUAACGAAAACUCACUAUAAAGUGAUUUACAUGAACGGAUGCAGUACAAAUCUGUACCCAACUUUCAGUUUAAGUGCCUGAUGCAACAGCAUUUCCUGUUACAGUCAGUACUAGAAGUUCCUAGUUUUGAUGUGUAUGUAGUAUUGACGGAACUCGUCCAUCUUUCUCUGAAAAUGAAAAUCAGGAGGUGGAUAUUGGUACUGUCAGGAAGAAGUAUCAGGAUGAGCUUCUGGCACUUGCAAAAUAUUACUUCAAACCUGUAGGUCUGCUAUUGUUUGCUAUGAUUGGUGCCCUUAUUGGAUCGGUUGUUGGAUCGAAUUAUGGAGUGGUGGGCUCUGGAUCUGGGAUCAUCAUUGGAAUCAUAGUAACAAUUCCACUGGGUCUAUACCUGAUUACAGCUGCAAGCCUCGCACGGCAAAGUUCAUCUCAUGUGGAAGUCAAAAAAACUGAACAGACUAAUUAGACCCUAAAAACUGUGAGCUACACAAUAGAUGCAAAUAUUUAUACCACUGGGACAAAAAUAAUAUCAGUGAUGCAUCAGUGUAAAGUGACCCAACAUUUUUAAUUAUCAUAGAAUGUCAUACUAUUUACAUACUUAUAGUUGAUUUUGAGAAUUGAAUGAAAGAGGAGAUUGUGGUCACAUGCAUAGAAAGCAACUAAUAUUUGCCAGAUAUUCCAACAGCUCAUUUAAUGUUGCUGUAAGUCUCCUGGUAACUUCUCUGAGAUGUAUUGUUCUUGCAUUUCUCAUCCUUUCUUGUCCAUUUUAGUGGCAUGCUUUUUUAAUGCGGUUCAUCAGAAUCACUUAAUUGAUGGCAUCUCUAAGAGAUUUAGUUGUAAAAAAAUUAAUUGUGCAUCACAAUAACUUUUAUUGUGCUUUUUAUUAUUAACUACUAUUAGAUUUCUAAAAUUAAUACAACUUUAAAUAAUCUUCAGCACCUUUUAUUAUAUGUUUAUAUGACACUAAAUGCUAUGUUUGUAUUGAAAUUUUAUAUUAUUUUGAACAAUUUACUUUUUUGCUUCUUGGAAACUAAUCUGUUGAAUGUUUUCCAUUUAUUCAUUCAUUAACACAUCAGCUGCAUAAAGUGGAGGUCUUUUCAAGACUGGACAGUCGUUAAUGUUAAAAAAGGUGCGAGAAAAGCAAAUAUUAUUUCUAUGUAAAUAAUGUUUAUAUGUUUUAUAUUUUCAUAUAAGGAGCAUUAUUUUAAAGCAGCUGUAGCUGAGCUAUCAAUUGUACUCAAAUCAGUGUUUUUUGAAUCUGAUGCAAAUUUUUAAUAAUAAAAUUAUCAUUACUAUGUUCUA